GAAGAACGAGUGAGGCGUGCUUAACACAUGCAAGUCGAACGGAAAGGCCCUGCUUUUGUGGGGUGCUCGAGUGGCGAACGGGUGAGUAACACGUGAGUAACCUGCCCUUGACUUUGGGAUAACUUCAGGAAACUGGGGCUAAUACCGGAUAGGAGCUCCUGCUGCAUGGUGGGGGUUGGAAAGUUUCGGCGGUUGGGGAUGGACUCGCGGCUUAUCAGCUUGUUGGUGGGGUAGUGGCUUACCAAGGCUUUGACGGGUAGCCGGCCUGAGAGGGUGACCGGCCACAUUGGGACUGAGAUACGGCCCAGACUCCUACGGGAGGCAGCAGUGGGGAAUAUUGCACAAUGGGCGGAAGCCUGAUGCAGCAACGCCGCGUGCGGGAUGACGGCCUUCGGGUUGUAAACCGCUUUCGCCUGUGACGAAGCGUGAGUGACGGUAAUGGGUAAAGAAGCACCGGCUAACUACGUG
This 468-nucleotide ribosomal RNA is filed under the name uncultured bacterium. Its description in RNAcentral is "partial 16S ribosomal RNA". It matches the Rfam family "Bacterial small subunit ribosomal RNA", at positions 31 to 507 of the family's 1533-position model. The record is from RNAcentral.